Molecule: ribosomal RNA, 497 nt
Filed under: uncultured bacterium
Lineage: Bacteria
Description: partial 16S ribosomal RNA
Rfam family: Bacterial small subunit ribosomal RNA
Source: RNAcentral
GACGAACGCUGGCGGCGUGCCUAAUACAUGCAAGUUGAGCGAUGAAGAUUGGUGCUUGCGCCAAUUUGAAGAGCAGCGAACGGGUGAGUAACGCGUGGGGCAUCUGCCUUUGAGCGGGGGACAACAUUUGGAAACGAAUGCUAAUACCGCAUAACAACUUUAAACAUAAGUUUUAAGUUUGAAAGAUGCAAUUGCAUCACUCAAAGAUGAUCCCGCGUUGUAUUAGCUAGUUGGUGAGGUAAAGGCUCACCAAGGCGAUGAUACAUAGCCGACCUGAGAGGGUGAUCGGCCACAUUGGGACCGAGACACGGCCCAAACUCCUACGGGAGGCAGCAGGAGGGAAUCUUCGGCAAUGGACGAAAGUCUGACCGAGCAACGCCGCGGGAGUGAAGGAGGUUUUCGGAUCGUAAAACUCUGUUGGUAGAGAAGAACGUUGGUGAGAGUGGAAAGCUCAUCAAGUGACGGUAACUACCCAGAAAGGGACGGCUAACUACGUG